This 419-nucleotide transfer-messenger RNA is filed under the name Spirochaetaceae bacterium. It matches the Rfam family "transfer-messenger RNA". From Rfam's summary of the family: Bacterial tmRNA, also known as 10Sa RNA or SsrA, is named for its dual tRNA and mRNA-like properties. Its role is to liberate the mRNA from a stalled ribosome. The record is from RNAcentral. Lineage: Bacteria; Pseudomonadati; Spirochaetota; Spirochaetia; Spirochaetales; Spirochaetaceae.
GGGGGUGUUCCGGUUUCGACUGGUGCGGUUCGGGAUACCGGUUGCAGGUAGAGCGUCCAUCUCUUGAUUGGACAAAAAUUUAACUGCCAAAACACGCAGUUUCGGUUUUGCUCGCGCGCCUCGCGCGCAGCUCGGUUAUGCAAUGGCAGCGUGAGCUGUUAAUGCCUAGCCGAUUAGGCUGUUUUGCAGCCUGACCGCGUGGAACCUUUCCGCCGCUCUGAGGGGGGUGUUCCGCGUCGCAAUCAGGGCUUUGCCACUGCUGUUGUCCCUUGCAGCAUUUGGCAAGAUAAAAAGGGAAUAAGGUAAAGUUAGCCGGUUGCGGGCUUAAUCUUUGCACGAAAAUACAGUUUGCAACUAAACCUGUAGACGCUUGUGUUUCGCGUAUUAGGACGCGGGUUCAACUCCCGCCACCUCCAUCC